This 621-nucleotide ribosomal RNA is filed under the name uncultured archaeon. Its description in RNAcentral is "bacterial SSU rRNA". It matches the Rfam family "Archaeal small subunit ribosomal RNA", at positions 147 to 774 of the family's 1478-position model. The record is from RNAcentral.
UAAUACUCCAUAGAUUAGAGACACUGGAAUGUUCUUUAGUCGAAAGUUCUGGCGCCUUAGGAUGGAUCUGCGGUCGAUUAGGUUGUUGUUGGGGUAACGGCCCAACAAGCCUGUAAUCGAUACGGGUUGUGGGAGCAAGAGCCCGGAGAUGGAAUCUGAGACACGAUUCCAGGCCCUACGGGGCGCAGCAGGCGCGAAAACUUUACAAUGCAGGAAACUGUGAUAAGGGAACUCCGAGUGCCCGUAUACGCGGGCUGUCCAGGUGUUUAAAAAUCAUCUGAAGAAAGGGCCGGGCAAGACCGGUGCCAGCCGCCGCGGUAAUACCGGCGGCUCGAGUGGUGGCCACUAUUAUUGGGCUUAAAGCGUCCGUAGCUGGACCGAUAAGUCUCUUGGGAAAUCCGCCGGCUCAACCGGCGGGCGUCUAGGGGAUACUGUUAGUCUAGGGACCGGGAGAGGUGAGAGGUACUCCGGGGGUAGGAGUGAAAUCCUGUAAUCCCCGGGGGACCACCGAUGGCGAAGGCAUCUCACCAGAACGGCUCCGACAGUGAGGGACGAAAGCUGGGGGAGCGAACCGGAUUAGAUACCCGGGUAGUCCCAGCCGUAACUAUGCGCGUUAGGUGU